CAAUUAUAAUGGCUCCUUCAGUGGGGGUAAUGGUUAUGGUGGGAAAGAAUCACACAUGAGAGUGUCAUCCGAACCCUCACAGUCAAUCCUUCAGACCUCAGCUAAGGUGCUACCCUUAGGGCCUGAUCAGCAGCAGUGUGGCCAUAAUAUGCAAGACCAAGGCAGCAUGAAAUCUAACCAACAGGUCCAGUCAAGUGGGAGCCAUUAGAGGCAGCAACAACCCCAUUUCCUUAAGUGUAGGAGGCAUCAUCUAGGGGUGUGUCCUAAGGGCAUUGACAAGUGUUUCGGGUACGGAGUUAAGGGACAUAAGCUUAGGCACUGCCUCAACAACUGAAGAGCAACAAGUAAUUCCUUAACCCCCUUUUGUUCUAUGAUGUAUGUGGAUAGGUGUGACCAUUUAAUUUCAUGCCAUGGAAGACUGACCAUGGGGUGAUACUUUCUUUAAUGUUUAGACCUCCAAACUCGGUAAGUUUUACUCACACAAAAAUGAUCAGGUGAGAUGGGAAUGAGAUAUAAGGUGUUUACAAAUGCUUACAACAUGAGCUAAGUGCUUAGAAAGGAUGUUUUUAUAUUGAGUAUGGGGUAUGUCAGCAUGUUACCUAUGUACGUUAGAGAUGUGGAGUCGAGGGGUAUCAAUUAAGCUAUUUCCCUAUCAACCUAAUGUCGUUAAGUGAGUCAAAUCAGAAUUUCUACUCAUUGUUUAUGUACAUCUAUUUUGAAGAGUUCCAUAAACGUGGUCCUAAUAAGGUGCUAAAUAACAAAACAUCUCGUGUAUCAACUCUUUGAAUGGGGUGUAUUAUUUAUAUAGUCUCCCAAUCACAGUUUUAUUAUUCACAACCUCCUAUGGAAUUGGGCCCUAUAAGUACGAUCAUGAAUUGAGUUAUAAC
RNAcentral lists this long non-coding RNA (887 nucleotides) under Nicotiana benthamiana. Its description in RNAcentral is "long non-coding RNA (NBEN_LNC024533)". Lineage: Eukaryota; Viridiplantae; Streptophyta; Magnoliopsida; Solanales; Solanaceae. The record is from RNAcentral.